GAUUGCUUUCAUUCAGCUAGGCAAAAAGGCUUUGAGCAGCCCUACAAUUGCCUUUCUCUCAUUUAUUUGUGCUAGAAUUAAGGUUUAUUUGUUUUCUGUUUUCUUCUUCUUCAGAUUGUUUCUCUGUCUUUAUCCAUUUAACAAACUGUUCCCUCCUGUAUCUCAGAAGGAUACACCUAUAGGGCCUACAUCUCUGUCUGCAGUCUGCAUACCUUCUUCUUUGAGUGCAUUUCUCUCAACUCAUUUGCUGGAGCUCCUAAAUAUCUCUCAAGUAUGAACAGGAAACCAGGAACAGCUGGCCAAGGAGUUCACUAGGCUGCUUAGAGAAGCCAUGGAUGGAGUCCAGGCCUUUUUCUAUGGAUACAGUUAAGUACAGCACCCAAGAAGCCAAGAAGAUAGAAAACAUGAGAAAUAUCUUACCUGGCACACCAUGAUUCUAGCUGGUACCUGUUGUUCCUGAAGCCAUGACAACGUGAGCCAGAUAAUAGGUGAAUGCUGGCAAGUUUCUUAAUGAAGAUGAAAUGAUAAGUCACUUUCUAAAUACUUAUCAGUGUCUUCAAGACAUAUAAGCUGUCUGAUAAUUUAAGCAUAAUUGUGUUGACAUCAUUUCUUCUAAGAUGUGAGGAUAAAAACAUAUGGUGUGUUGUUUCCUUUUUUUUUCUUUCUUUCUUUUUAUAUACAUGAAGCAAGUGAUGAGUAAAGAAUUGAAGUUUUCUGGUGAAUGAAACAGCCAGACCACUUUUCAUGACAAAGUUGGUAAUUAGAAGGCCAAUUUAAUGGUGAAUCAGGCAGAAAUAUUCAAACCAUGACAAAUGACUUUAAUAAUGCAGCUUGCAAUGCUUGAACAGAAAUAAAUUUCACUUCCUCAAACUCUCGCCUUUUCUG
RNAcentral lists this long non-coding RNA (885 nucleotides) under Felis catus (domestic cat). RNAcentral describes it as "lncRNA (ENSFCAG00000048730.1)". The record is from RNAcentral. Lineage: Eukaryota; Metazoa; Chordata; Mammalia; Carnivora; Felidae.